CUCUGUUGCUGCAACACUAAAACAAACGUCGUUAUGGCGCCAAAGCGAACGUCGCCCCAAGGCAUAUCUCCAAAGACCACCAAUUCAAAAAAGUACAGUGAACAUACUGGGAAUAAGUUACCGAUGACGAACUAAGAAAUUACCGAGGUGUGCGCGCGACAGUAUUUCUUGGCAUACUAUUUACCACAGGUGCUAUCGUAUCAGCGAUCUUAGUGCUGUUUAUCCUGACAACCAAAAAGGUUCUAUAUUUUGUAGCGGCUGGACUUGAUGUAGCUGCAGGUCUCUUCUUGAUGAUUGCGAUGGCUGUGUAUGCGGACAAAGUGGCUCAUGAUGGAUAUGACUUUCAUGCAUCUUUUGCAUUAGACAUCAUUGCCUGGCUAGCAGCAUGGGCUGGUGGAGGAAUAUUUGUGGGAGCUAAACUUGCUGAAAAGGAAUAAUACAGUGAAAAAUAAGAUAUAUCUUGCAAACAUGUCAUGUCUUAUAUUAUAUCAUAUUGUAGUGUUGCUUAUUAACUAAAUACUAUACUAGCAUCACUCUUCUGUAAUUUGUUUCAUUUUAUUAUUUAUUAUUCGUACUAUGUGUUAGUACAUGUAUGUCGAUAUGUAUGGUUGAAAUUGUUAGAAAAUCAAGAUUUAGAAAAAAGUCGUUACUUCAAUCCGUUUACAGUUGCUUCAAAAAAUAUAUGUUGAUAAUUUAUCUUUUGUCAUUUCCUCGGGUGCAGAUGUAAAAUACUCGAAGAAAAUAUUGAACAAUG
RNAcentral lists this unclassified non-coding RNA (754 nucleotides) under Mercenaria mercenaria. RNAcentral describes it as "uncharacterized LOC123545467". The record is from RNAcentral. Lineage: Eukaryota; Metazoa; Mollusca; Bivalvia; Venerida; Veneridae.